RNAcentral lists this ribosomal RNA (710 nucleotides) under uncultured Enterobacterales bacterium. RNAcentral's name for it is "bacterial SSU rRNA". It matches the Rfam family "Bacterial small subunit ribosomal RNA", at positions 60 to 761 of the family's 1533-position model. Lineage: Bacteria; Pseudomonadati; Pseudomonadota; Gammaproteobacteria; Enterobacterales. The record is from RNAcentral.
AGUCGAACGGUAGCACAGAGAGCUUGCUCUCGGGUGACGAGUGGCGGACGGGUGAGUAAUGUCUGGGAAACUGCCUGAUGGAGGGGGAUAACUACUGGAAACGGUAGCUAAUACCGCAUAACGUCGCAAGACCAAAGAGGGGGACCUUCGGGCCUCUUGCCAUCAGAUGUGCCCAGAUGGGAUUAGCUAGUAGGUGGGGUAACGGCUCACCUAGGCGACGAUCCCUAGCUGGUCUGAGAGGAUGACCAGCCACACUGGAACUGAGACACGGUCCAGACUCCUACGGGAGGCAGCAGUGGGGAAUAUUGCACAAUGGGCGCAAGCCUGAUGCAGCCAUGCCGCGUGUAUGAAGAAGGCCUUCGGGUUGUAAAGUACUUUCAGCGGGGAGGAAGGUGUUGUGGUUAAUAACCGCAGCAAUUGACGUUACCCGCAGAAGAAGCACCGGCUAACUCCGUGCCAGCAGCCGCGGUAAUACGGAGGGUGCAAGCGUUAAUCGGAAUUACUGGGCGUAAAGCGCACGCAGGCGGUCUGUCAAGUCGGAUGUGAAAUCCCCGGGCUCAACCUGGGAACUGCAUUCGAAACUGGCAGGCUAGAGUCUUGUAGAGGGGGGUAGAAUUCCAGGUGUAGCGGUGAAAUGCGUAGAGAUCUGGAGGAAUACCGGUGGCGAAGGCGGCCCCCUGGACAAAGACUGACGCUCAGGUGCGAAAGCG